AUACGUAGGGGGCGAGCGUUGUCCGGAAUGAUUGGGCGUAAAGGGCGCGUAGGCGGCGCGGUAAGUCUGGAGUGAAAGUCCUGCUUUCAAGGUGGGAAUUGCUUUGGAUACUGCCGCGCUUGAGUGCAGGAGAGGUUAUCGGAAUUCCCGGUGUAGCGGUGAAAUGCGUAGAGAUCGGGAGGAACACCAGUGGCGAAGGCGACUUACUGGACUGUAACUGACGCUGAGGCGCGAAAGUGUGGGGAGCAAACAGGAAUAGAUACCCUGGUAGGCCACACCGUAAACGAUGAACGCUAGGGGUAGGGGGUAUCGACCCCUUCUGUGCCGCAGUCAACACAAUAAGCAUUCCGCCUGGGGAGUACGGCCGCAAGGUUGAAACUCAAAGGAAUUGACGUGG
RNAcentral lists this ribosomal RNA (397 nucleotides) under uncultured bacterium. Its description in RNAcentral is "partial 16S ribosomal RNA". It matches the Rfam family "Bacterial small subunit ribosomal RNA", at positions 523 to 918 of the family's 1533-position model. The record is from RNAcentral.